Molecule: ribosomal RNA, 253 nt
Filed under: uncultured bacterium
Lineage: Bacteria
Description: partial 16S ribosomal RNA
Rfam family: Bacterial small subunit ribosomal RNA
Source: RNAcentral
UACGGGGGGGGCAAGCGUUGUUCGGAAUUACUGGGCGUAAAGGGCUCGUAGGCGGCCAAUUAAGUCAGACGUGAAAUCCCCAGGCUCAACCUGGGAACUGCGUCUGAUACUGGUUGGCUUGAAUUCGGGAGAGGGAUGCAGAAUUCCAGGUGUAGCGGUGAAAUGCGUAGAUAUCUGGAGGAAUACCGGUGGCGAAGGCGGCAUCCUGGACCGAGAUUGACACUGAGGAGCGAAAGCCAGGGGAGCAAACGGG